AAGAAGUCAGGCCACUACAAGUGCCAUAACUUGAGCAAAUUAUGCAGCCUGUAGCUCCACCUGGGAAGGUGUAAAAAAUCUGGGAGGCCACAAACCAUGGAAGCUGUACGCAUGGCGUAGUGGACUAGCGGUUAGAGGAGACCCCUCCCUUGCAAAUCGCAGCAACAAUGGGGGCCCAAGGUGAGAUGAAGCUGUAGUCUCACUGGAAG
RNAcentral lists this long non-coding RNA (209 nucleotides) under dengue virus type 2. RNAcentral's name for it is "Dengue virus type 2 partial sfRNA2". The stretch from base 83 to 154 matches the Rfam family "Flavivirus DB element". The record is from RNAcentral. Lineage: Riboviria; Orthornavirae; Kitrinoviricota; Flasuviricetes; Amarillovirales; Flaviviridae.